This 521-nucleotide ribosomal RNA is filed under the name uncultured bacterium. RNAcentral's name for it is "bacterial SSU rRNA". It matches the Rfam family "Bacterial small subunit ribosomal RNA", at positions 8 to 518 of the family's 1533-position model. The record is from RNAcentral.
AGAGUUUGAUCCUGGCUUAGGAUGAACGCUAGCUACAGGCUUAACACAUGCAAGUCGAGGGGCAGCAUGAAGUUUGCUUGCAAACUUGAUGGCGACCGGCGCACGGGUGAGUAACGCGUAUCCAACCUUCCCUAUAGUAGGGGGUAGCCCGUAGAAAUGCGGAUUAAUACCCUAUGUUGUAUUUUGAGGACAUCUGACGAAUACCAAAGGUUCACCGCUAUAGGAUGGGGAUGCGUCUGAUUAGGUAGUCGGCGGGGUAACGGCCCACCGAGCCAACGAUCAGUAGGGGUUCUGAGAGGAAGGUCCCCCACAUUGGAACUGAGACACGGUCCAAACUCCUACGGGAGGCAGCAGUGAGGAAUAUUGGUCAAUGGGCGAGAGCCUGAACCAGCCAAGUAGCGUGCAAGGAUGACUGCCCUAUGGGUUGUAAACUGCUUUUAUAGGGGAAUAAAGUCCACUACGUGUAGUGGUUUGUAUGUACCCUAUGAAUAAGGACCGGCUAAUUCCGUGCCAGCAGCAGC